UACGUAGGGCGCAAGCGUUAUCCGGAAUCAUUGGGCGUAAAGAGCGUGUAGGCGGCCCGAUAAGUCCGCUGUGAAAGUCCAGGGCUCAACCCUGGGAUGCCGGUGGAUACUGUCGGGCUCGAGUCCGGAAGAGGAGUGUGGAAUUCCUGGUGUAGCGGUGAAAUGCGCAGAUAUCAGGAGGAACACCAGCGGCGAAGGCGGCGCUCUGGGCCGGAACUGACGCUGAGGAGCGAAAGCGUGGGUAGCAAACAGG
Molecule: ribosomal RNA, 253 nt
Filed under: uncultured bacterium
Lineage: Bacteria
Description: partial 16S ribosomal RNA
Rfam family: Bacterial small subunit ribosomal RNA
Source: RNAcentral